This 6820-nucleotide long non-coding RNA is filed under the name Daucus carota (carrot). Its description in RNAcentral is "long non-coding RNA (DCAR_LNC000650)". The record is from RNAcentral. Lineage: Eukaryota; Viridiplantae; Streptophyta; Magnoliopsida; Apiales; Apiaceae.
AUUGCAGCGAUUUACAUAAAGGAGUAUUAUCUUCUUAUCUUCUAUACAUAACUUUGCAUAAGUAACUAAUACAAUUAAGCCAAAUCAUCUCCAACAUAAUUAGCCUUUACAGACUUAGAAUCAAACUGUGGUUUAGCAUCUAGGACCAAUGGAAUGCUCCUGUUAUACCAUUUAGCCCAGAAGAGAUAAUUCACAAAGUUGAUCAAACUCAGUACUGCUAGAAACCAGUAGAAAAGAUCCAUCCUGUCGGGAUUCAGAUCAUUCUCCCCCAUCCAUCCGCGGCUCGAAGAAUUAGAAGUGAUCUUGUUCACCAAAGAAACAAGGACAGAGCUUAGGUAAAAGCCAAAUGAGUAUGAGCAGUAAGUCAUGGCAGUUAAAAAAGAUUGCAUCCCUUUAAUGUUUUGCUUGUAAAAGAACUCGAUUAAUCCUAUUGCAGUAAACAUUUCAGAUAAGCCGAAGAUCAAAUAUUGUGGUGUUAUCCAAAAUAUGGAGAUGAUUUCAUUAGAUUCCACUGCUGCAACCCUUCUUCUUUUCUCCAUUAUCGCAGCUGCAACCAUUGAAAAAGUUGCGACAAAGAGGCCAAGCCCUAUGCGCCUCAUAAUCUGUCGUAGAGAGGGACCAAAAAGAUUAGGAUGAUGUAAGGGAUGGCUUGAAGGGAAGCAGGAGGAAUGUGGAAAGAUCUGGUGAGUUGAGUAUCCAUGGAACUUCCUUGUUGAACUGAGAAUGUCUGGAGUUGUGAUAAUAUGGUGUUGAAUACAAUGGUGCAUGCAAAUAUUGGGACAACUGUUAUUAGUAUUUUCACUUGUUCAACUUGGUUUACUGUGCAUAAACUCCAAGCACUUUCACUUAUGUUGCCUUCUGGUCCUGUUUUUAUACAAGCUUUAUUCAAGAACCUGAAAUUUGGAUAUAAAUAUAUUAGGUGGAGAUAUGCAUGCAUUUAUGUAUCAAUCAUAAGAAAACUAUGUAGGCAUGGCAAAACCGAUGUUCUUCUAAAAUCUCAAGAUUGUUAUAACGAGUUUUAGCUGGGUCAAAACUUAGUUAGUUUGACCAAUAAAAAUAGAAAUGUAACAACUAAAAAGAGAUGGAGAGAGUAAAAAAGAUUGCAUCCAUUUGAUGUUUUGUUUGUAAAAGAACUCGAUCAAUCCUAUUGCAGUGAAGUUUUGAGGCAUUGUGCUUAAAUUCUAAAAAAUCUAUAUCAAUUAUGCAACACUUUAUCAAGAAUUCGCACAAAAUCAAAAUCAGAUAUAAUACAUUAAAAUCCAUAGAUUAAAAAAAAUACUUUAAAAUCCUAGUUGAAUAUGCCUUUUUAAACACAAAAAUUCACAAUUCACAACGCUAGUUACAAAGUAUGUAUCAUACAUUGUACAACAACAUUGAGUAUUUUGAUUUGAUUAUUAUAUUAGGAAAGAUGUAUUCAACCACGAUCUUGGAUCUUAAUAGAUUAUAUAUAACUUAUGGAUUUUAACAAAAUGUAUCCGAUUUUGAUUUUAUGCGGAUUCUAAAUCAAAUGUUGUAUUGGAUUGGGAUUUUAAAGCAUUUUUUUGCAUUCAUAAAAUCCGAGGGUAUUCGAUUGAGAUUGUUUGAAAUCCAUUAAAAUCUUGAGGUAUUCAAUUGGGAUUUUAAAUUAUGCUAUAAAAUCCGGUAGUAUUCAAUUGGAAUUUUAAAUUAUGUUUUAAAAUCCAACGAUAUUCAAUUGGGAUCAUCUUGAGGUAUUCAAUUGGGAUUUUAAAUUAUGCUAUAAAAUCCGGUAGUAUUCAAUUGGAAUUUUAAAUUAUGUUUUAAAAUCCAACGAUAUUCAAUUGGGAUCGUUUAAAAUCCAUUAAAAUCUGAUGGUAUUCAAAUGCUGAUGGAUUUUUUUGGAUUUCAUAAAAUGAUGGAUUUUGUGGCAUUCUUCAGUGUAUUUUAAGUUUUUUGAAAUCCCACCAAAAUCAAUGAGAUUUUGAAGCAUUGUGCUUAAAUUCUAUCAACUCUGCGACAUUUUAUCAAGAAUCCACACAAAAUCAAAAUCACAUGCAAAAUCAAUGAGAUUUUGAAGCAUUGUGCUUAAAUUCUAUCAACUCUGCGACAUUUUAUCAAGAAUCCACACAAAAUCAAAAUCACAUGCAAUCUAUUAAAAUCCAUAGACUAAAAACAAUCCAUUAAAAUCCCAAUCGAAUACACCCCCCCUAAUGGAUUUUGGUGGGAUUUCAAAAUUUCAAAAUACACUAAACAAUCCCACAAAAUCUAGCAUUUUAUGAAGUCAAAAAAAAAAAUCAAUCAGUUUUUAAUAAAUUUUAAAUAUCCAAAACAAAUAUCAUCGGAUUAUUAGACAUAAUACAAAAUCUUGAUCGGAUACUACCAGAUUUUGUUACAUAAUUUAUAAUAUCCCAUGAGUUGAAUACACCUAUAUUUCAUAAAUGAAACGGAAUCUCAUGAAAUCUCAAUUGAAUAUACGGCUGUAAAUUGCAAAACAAAUAUCACAAUUGAAAACGCCAUUAUAAAUUGCAAAACAAAGAUUUUUUAACUGUUGUGCACGGUGCGGGCAGGGAUUGUAGCAGCGGUGCCUCCCAGCUUGGUGCUUAAAUACUGGCACACCAGAACUAGGUCGGGAAGAUAAUGUGAAGCUGAUUACUUCUGGAGUUGAAGAAAAAGUAAAAUUUUACAUUUUCAUUUAUCGAUGACCAACCUAGCACCCAAUGUGAAGGACACAAAACUCUCUGGUUCCUAUAUUGAAUCGAAGGUAAAUUCAUUUUCUUUUUUGUCUCCUUGAUUGUUGUGAUAUUUACAUAAUUGGUGUUGUGAUAUUUACAUAAUUGGUGAUGGUUGAGUAUGGUAGAAUUAGUAUGGUAUUUAAAAAAAAAAUUUGUUUUAAGUAGCAAUAGAUCGGUAAUGUUUUAUGUGCCUUGCUUUUUUAUUUAUGUACUAGCCUUUAACCCGUGCGAAGCACGGGCGGGUAUAUAAUUCGUAAUUUAUUAUUUAUAAUUUAAAUUUUAACAUCAUUUUAUUAGUAUUUUAGUAUUAAUGGAUUAAAUUUUAAUUAAAUUAUAUUAUUCAACUGACUAUAUUUUCUCCCGAUUAUUUGAAAAUGGAUAAACCCUAAUAAAUAUAGCGGAUCGUGUAAUACCUUUGAAAGAUUCAGUAAUCUAAUAAAUUGAAUUUCAACAUAAUUUUGUAAUUUUGGUUUUUUUGACAACAACAACUUUUAAAAUUAGAGUUGGAAAGGGUUAUGUAAUGGUUCGUGUUAGUUAAAAAGAGUUAUAUGAAUGUUAUUGUUAAAUAUCUUGUAUAUUUAUAAUUUUAUUUAUAACAUUAUUAUAAUUUUUUAAUGAAAUAUUAUAUGAUAAUAGAUUGUUAUGAGUGUUUUUAGUAUUUGAAACUGUUUAACAAUAUAAUACUAAUAGACUCCACAUUUGUAGACUUGUAGUACCAAAAGGAGAGUACCAAACCAAAAAAUAUAACUAAAAACUUGGACUACAAAUUAUACCCAUGUUGGCUUAUUAUAGUAUAGUAUAGAUUGGCUAUAAUUGUCUGAAUAGUUGCCCGUUGGAAAAAAAUAAAUAAAUUAAUUUAAAACAUAUAUUUUGAAAAACAAUUUUUACUAGCAGUCUUAUGAGUCUCAAAAAUAGCAAAUUACGCACCUUAUAACUGUCACUAUGUUAUGAAAGCAUGAUUUAUGAUCUUUGAUUCUCUGACUUCAUUGGUAAACUACGCCAAGACUCGACCCUUCCAAUUUUCAUUGUCUCGGAAAUGAUCAACAUUCAUUUCGAACACAGUAGAUGCUUCAGUUUUUGGAAAACCAAAGCAUGAUAAUCAUGAUAAAGUACCUCUUCUAGUUGAAUCAGGUGUUGAACUUGAAAAAGUAGGCUCCCUGGCAUAAGCUCGAAUGGAGACGUAUCCUUUGGAGGUAAAUUUAACAGCAAUAUUACUGACCAAAUUUGAUAGUAUCUAUUUCAGUUGCUUGCUAUAACCUCUUAAGUGAUCGAACUCAUUAACUGAUCCAUCACUGAGAUCCAACACAACGUCUACACCUUUCUUUAUGCCAACAACAUAAAACAAGUCAGCCACAUCUUUAAGUAACUGUGACGUCUUAAGUUCUUCGAUCGUGUUCAUUCGUCACUUUUCCUGCUUCUAGCUUACUUCUGUCAAGGAUGUUAUUUAAAAGACUUGUACAGUAAAAAAGCAUUAAUAAUGACUCAUAUAAUUAUAUGAAACUUAGUCAUUAUUAAUGUUUUUACUGUGUAGGUCUUUUAAAUAACAUUAUUGAUAGAAGUAAGCUAGAAGCAGGAAAAAUGACGAAUGAACACAAAGAACUUAAGACGUCAUAGUUACUUGAAGAUGUGGCUGACUUGUUUCAUGUUGUUGGCAUAAAGAAAGGCGUAGACAUUGUGUUGGAUCUCAGCGACGGAUCGGUUAGUGAGUUAGAUCACGUAAGAGGGGAUCGCAAACAGCUAAAACAGAUAUUGUCUAAUUCGGUUAGUAAUGCUGUUAAAGUUACCUUCGAAUGAUAUGUCUCCAUUCGAGCUUAUGCCAGGAAGCCUACUUCUUCAAGUUCAACACCUGAUUCAACUAAAAGAGGUACUUUGAUCAUGGUUAUAUAUCAGGCUCUGGUUUUCCAAAAACUGAACUGAGUACAAAAUGAACAUUCAUCAUUUUCGAGACAAUGAAAAUUGCAUGGAGUUUGUUUUUGAGGUAGAUGAUACUGGAAUAGGAAUUCCCAAAGAUAAGCAAGAAAUAGCCUAUCUCGGGUGGAAAAUCAAACCACCUAGAAUUUUAAAGAUCUUGUGUUCUUUACUUGCUGCUUGUUUAAAUAUUUGCUAUUAGUUUGUUCUUGGAAUCAAAAAUCUCAAAGAUUGUAUUCAACCCCUUUGCAAUCUUGUUAGUGUAAAAUAACAGAGGAACUUGCUUCAAGUUCAACACCUAUAUCACUACAUGUGAAACUGAUCAAAGGGAUCAGUCCGAUGACACUGGAUCAUAUGGUGGUGCUUACAUGUCUCCAUGCAAAUCGUUUUCACCACAAGGUAUAAAGUUCAGUAGCUUUGAACUAACAGAAGGAUCUCGAGUAAUUUUCUUCGUCCAAAAUGAAGAAAGGAGUCGAGUGUGCAAAAGGUUCAUGGAUAGACAAAGAAUCGAAAGCCAGGGAGUCCGGAUAUACUACAAUGGUGUUACGUGUUUAAUUAGAUGCCAGUUAUGGAUGGCCUCGAAGCAACCCAAAAAAUAGGGCAAGAAGAAGCAAGAUAUGGGGUGCACAUUCCCACACUUGCCGUUAGUGCCCAUACAGAGGGUCCUGAGAUAAAGCUGAUGGUAGAAGCUGCAGGGGUGGAUUAUAACCUGGCCAAGCCAUUGAACGUCCAAAAAGUUAGAGAAGCUCUCAGAGUUUUGAAGGCUUGGGAUAAAUUGUUUUCUGCGUUAAGCACAUUUUGUUUGUAUUGGUGAUAACCAUUUGUCUCUACAUUUUUUAUCACAUGAGUGGAACUGUUUGAGCUAUUUGUUAACCCUUGGACGAGACUAAAAGAGCUCGAUAGUCAUGAGAGUACUCUUUCAGCUUGUUUCAAGAUGAGCUCAUAUUAGAAGCUCCUGUUAAGUCUUCAUGUUUUUAUACUGAUCUUAAAACCUUAUCUUAUGAAUUUUUAAUGCGUUCUUGGUAAUGUAAAUACUGUGUUUAGUUCCCACUUCCCACCUUGCUUAUAAAUUAUAGGGUUUUCCUGUUUUAUAUUAAGCUCAUCCUACUCCAGGCACCACUUUCUUUAUACACAAAGCACCUUUUUAUCUGUAGAUUUAUAAACUAGAACGUAUAUGCACCUGCACUUCCUGUUGUACGAUGUAAUUGGUCAGGUUGUGUUUAUUCUUGGAAAAAAGAGUUUAUGUGGAUGACAUUUUACACUAAAAAUUAUUUGAACCCAACCUUGCUAAACAAAUUAUAUUAUUUAUUAAAAAUCUCUUAUUUAAUUUUAAGAGGAUAUUUUACUGAUUUAUCGAAAAAGUCUCUGAUAAAUUUUGAAUCGGUAGCUCAAAAUUUUAAACAAAGGAUAAAGCUAAUUGGAACUUUAACAAAAGAACAUCCAUGGGAGAACAAUUAUAACUAAAACUUGUAGGUUUGUAGCUAAGAAAACAUCCUUUCCUUUGAAUUCAAACCCUUUGGAAAGCUAUUGCAGCGAUUUACAUAAAGCAGUAUUAUCUUCUUAUCUUCUAUACAUAACUUUGCAUAAGUAACUAAUACAAUUAAGCCAUAUCAUCUCCAACAUAAUUAGCCUUUACAGACUUAGAAUCAAACUGUGGUUUAGCAUCUAGGACUAAUGGAAUGCUCCUGUUAUACCAUUUAGCCCAAAAGAGAUAAUUCACAAAGUUGAUCAAACUCAGUACUGCUAGAAACCAGUAGAAAAGAUCCAACCUGUCGUGAUUCAGAUCAUUCUCCCCCAUCCAUCCGCGGCUCGAAGAAUUAGAAGUGAUCUUGUUCACCAAAGAAACAAGAACAGAGCUUAGGUAAAAGCCAAAUGAGUAUGAGCAAUAAGUCAUGGCAGUUAAAAAAGAUUGCAUCCCUUUAAUGUUCUGUUUGUAAAAGAACUCGAUCAAUCCUAUUGCAGUAAACAUUUCAGAUAAUCCGAAAAUCAAAUACUGUGGUGUUAUCCAAAAUAUGGAGAUGAUUUCAUUAGACUCCACUGCUGCAACCCUUCUUCUUUUCUCCAUUAUUGCAGCUGCAACCAUUGAAAAAGUUGCGACAAAGAGGCCAAGCCCUAUGCGCCUCAAGGGACUGAUUCCGGACUCAUGGCCAGUGAUUUUUCUGGCAAAAGGGACGAAAAAUCUGUCGUAGAGAGGGACCAAAAAGAUUAGGAUGAUGUAAGGG